AGAACUACCCCCGAAAUUUAACCUUAUCAUUAACCGGAAGAAAA
Molecule: ribosomal RNA, 44 nt
Filed under: Laccaria sp. GMM7648
Lineage: Eukaryota; Fungi; Basidiomycota; Agaricomycetes; Agaricales; Hydnangiaceae
Description: partial 28S ribosomal RNA
Source: RNAcentral